UAAAGCGUGCGCAGGCGGUUUGUAAGACUGUCGUGAAAUCCCCGGGCUCAACCUGGGAAUGGCGAUGGUGACUGCAAGGCUAGAGUUUGGCAGAGGGGGGUAGAAUUCCACGUGUAGCAGUGAAAUGCGUAGAUAUGUGGAGGAACACCGAUGGCGAAGGCAGCCCCCUGGGUCAAAACUGACGCUCAUGCACGAAAGCGUGGGGAGCAAACAGGAUUAGAUACCCGUGU
Molecule: ribosomal RNA, 230 nt
Filed under: uncultured bacterium
Lineage: Bacteria
Description: partial 16S ribosomal RNA
Rfam family: Bacterial small subunit ribosomal RNA
Source: RNAcentral